RNAcentral lists this ribosomal RNA (506 nucleotides) under uncultured bacterium. Its description in RNAcentral is "partial 16S ribosomal RNA". It matches the Rfam family "Bacterial small subunit ribosomal RNA", at positions 29 to 523 of the family's 1533-position model. The record is from RNAcentral.
AUUGAACGCUGGCGGCAGGCCUAACACAUGCAAGUCGGACGGUAGCACAGAGGAGCUUGCUCUUCGGGUGACGAGUGGCGGACGGGUGAGUAAUGUCUGGGAAACUGCCCGAUGGAGGGGGAUAACUACUGGAAACGGUAGCUAAUACCGCAUAACGUCGCAAGACCAAAGUGGGGGACCUUCUGGACUCACACCAUCCGAUGUGCCCGGAUGGGAUAAGCUGGUAGGCGGGGUAACGGCCCACCUAGGCGACGAUCCCUAGCUGGUCUGAGAGGAUGACCAGCAACACUGGAACUGAGACACGGUCCAGACUCCUACGGGAGGCAGCAGUGGGGAAUAUUGCACAAUGGGCGCAAGCCUGAUGCAGCCAUGCCGCGUGUAUGAAGAAGGCCUUCGGGUUGUAAAGUACUUUCAGCGGGGAGGAAGGUGCUGAGGUUAAUAAGCUCAGCAAUUGACGUUACCCGCAGAAGAAGCACCGGCUAACUCCGUGCCAGCCGCCGCCGUAA